UCCUCCCCCAAAAGCGGUUUACAACCCGAAGGCGGUCAUUCCGCACGCGGCGUUGCUCGGUCAGGCUUGCGCCCAUUGCCGAAAAUUCCUUGCUGCUGCCUCCCGUAGGAGUCUGGGCCGUGUCUCAGUCCCAGUCUGGCUGGUCAUCCUCCCAGACCAGCUACCCGUCAUCGGCUUGGUAGGCUCUUACCCUGCCAACUACCUGAUGGGCCGCAGGCCCCUCCUCCGGCGCGCUUGCGCGCUUUCCCCGGGUGGACGUAUGCGGGAUUAGCGAGACUUUCGCCUCGUUAUCCCCCACCGGGGGGCGGGUUCCCACGUGUUACUCAGCCGUGCGCCACUCACGCGCCCAAGCGCGUGCGUCCGACUUGCAUGCAUUAGGCACGCCGCCAGCGUUCGUCCUGAGCCAUAAUCAAACUCU
RNAcentral lists this ribosomal RNA (418 nucleotides) under uncultured Chloroflexales bacterium. Its description in RNAcentral is "partial 16S ribosomal RNA". Lineage: Bacteria; Bacillati; Chloroflexota; Chloroflexia; Chloroflexales. The record is from RNAcentral.